This 1048-nucleotide ribosomal RNA is filed under the name Clostridium botulinum. Its description in RNAcentral is "bacterial SSU rRNA". It matches the Rfam family "Bacterial small subunit ribosomal RNA", at positions 1 to 1064 of the family's 1533-position model. The record is from RNAcentral. Lineage: Bacteria; Bacillati; Bacillota; Clostridia; Eubacteriales; Clostridiaceae.
UUUAAAUUUAGAGUUUGAUCCUGGCUCAGGACGAACGCUGGCGGCGUGCUUAACACAUGCAAGUCGAGCGAUGAAGCUUCCUUCGGGAAGUGGAUUAGCGGCGGACGGGUGAGUAACACGUGGGUAACCUGCCUCAAAGUGGGGGAUAGCCUUCCGAAAGGAAGAUUAAUACCGCAUAAUAUAAGAGAAUCGCAUGAUUUUCUUAUCAAAGAUUUAUUGCUUUGAGAUGGACCCGCGGCGCAUUAGCUAGUUGGUAAGGUAACGGCUUACCAAGGCAACGAUGCGUAGCCGACCUGAGAGGGUGAUCGGCCACAUUGGAACUGAGACACGGUCCAGACUCCUACGGGAGGCAGCAGUGGGGAAUAUUGCGCAAUGGGGGAAACCCUGACGCAGCAACGCCGCGUGGGUGAUGAAGGUCUUCGGAUUGUAAAGCCCUGUUUUCUAGGACGAUAAUGACGGUACUAGAGGAGGAAGCCACGGCUAACUACGUGCCAGCAGCCGCGGUAAUACGUAGGUGGCGAGCGUUGUCCGGAUUUACUGGGCGUAAAGGGUGCGUAGGCGGAUGUUUAAGUGGGAUGUGAAAUCCCCGGGCUUAACCUGGGGGCUGCAUUCCAAACUGGAUAUCUAGAGUGCAGGAGAGGAAAGCGGAAUUCCUAGUGUAGCGGUGAAAUGCGUAGAGAUUAGGAAGAACACCAGUGGCGAAGGCGGCUUUCUGGACUGUAACUGACGCUGAGGCACGAAAGCGUGGGUAGCAAACAGGAUUAGAUACCCUGGUAGUCCACGCCGUAAACGAUGGAUACUAGGUGUAGGGGGUAUCAACUCCCCCUGUGCCGCAGUUAACACAAUAAGUAUCCCGCCUGGGGAGUACGGUCGCAAGAUUAAAACUCAAAGGAAUUGACGGGGGCCCGCACAAGCAGCGGAGCAUGUGGUUUAAUUCGAAGCAACGCGAAGAACCUUACCUGGACUUGACAUCCCUUGCAUAGCCUAGAGAUAGGUGAAGCCCUUCGGGGCAAGGAGACAGGUGGUGCAUGGUUGUCGUCAGCUCGUG